Molecule: long non-coding RNA, 1226 nt
Filed under: Varroa destructor (honeybee mite)
Lineage: Eukaryota; Metazoa; Arthropoda; Arachnida; Mesostigmata; Varroidae
Description: uncharacterized LOC111245396, transcript variant X2
Source: RNAcentral
AAAAUAACGAAAAAUAGACAAAGGCCCAAAUUCAUUUUAUCUAACAGGACUGCGGCUUCAUCCUUUUAAGCGACGCUUUCUAAAACUCUAGCUAGCGACUGGAAUCCUCGAGACUAAGGCAACGCUGGAUAUGCUAGAGUGCAGCCUCUGGGUAAAACGGCAGGAAAGCAUCAACGACAGAUGUAAAGAGGCAGCCGCCGGCAGAAAAGCAAGUAGUUGAAGAAACGAACCUUUCCGAAGAGCCUGAAAGCUUCUCGGAAGCUAGCCCAAAACGAUGUAAAGACUCCGGCGCAGUCGACAUCCAAGGUUCGAACCACAUGCGUUUCAGUUUCUCGUUCCUCUCUCCUUUUCUAGAGAAAACGCUGUCGUCAAAGCGACGGGUAUCAGUAGUCGCUAUGAAGGCCGUAUUACCACUACGGGCGGAACGGCUCGAAGUAUUCCCGGUCCGAAGUUCGUAUAUCGUAACUUUGGCGUCCGCAUCGCCAGCGGUGGAAACGGCAGUGGCAGCAUGGAAAAGAGAGCGCAUCUCUAUCUUCUCCAAUUUUUCAGAUGAACGGGUCCCAGUAGCUGGCUAAGGGAUGUCUCCCCCUUUCGCUCUGCUCGCUCGACGUGCCGCCAGUUGUCCAACCCAACGGUCUGUUUCCUGAGGACUUGAACCCUCCAAACGUUCGAGUCUGUCUUGACCCUGAAACCUUCCCUAUCCACGACUUGCGUCGUGUCUCUGGAAUGAAAGCUACCGUCCGUUCGGCCUAGAGCCUCGCUGCUCGCUGUUUUACGAUGCGUCCCGAGCAAGCAUAUCCGCACAGCUGAAAUCAGUAUGCUACGACUCUAAGCGAGAGUCCCGUAACGGCAAGUGUAGCCAUUACUGGAAAACUGGCGUUACGAUAUCAAAACCAAAAUCAUAUUUGGCAUUCUUGGAGUCUCAUUUAUGUUGACCUUUCUGCUACCCACAAACUGUUUACCGGCCGUCCUCCUUCAAAACAGCCAUUUAUCGGUCCUCAUCGACUUCAGAGCCGUUCGGGGCCAUGAAUUUCCUGCAGUUCCAAGGUGCUAUUCCUAAACGUCGCAAAUCAUUCUGCUCAAUCCACACAAGAAUUCUAAUCAAUCCUCUCGGUUAUGGAGUUCUUGCUGUAUACAAUACGAAUCUUCUGGGCUGCAUCAACAGCUGUUUGACUUCAGUAAAAGGAGAAACAGAGUAGAUUUUUUUAAGUACACAUCUUUCCCUU